CAUGGGUCUACUCUAUGUGGAUAGGGAGUUUUAAAAUUGGAGUAAACAAACACAAACACUAUGACACAACAAGUGAAUAGUGUGAAUUAUUUUUGUUAUACGCAAAAUGCGCACUAGUAUACAGAUACAGCUAAAUGCUAACUCGGGUGUAGGCUAGUCGGCUAACCUAGCUGGUUUGCUAACGAACAAAGGUUGCUAACGCGCUAGCCGCUCCACAACAACAGCAGCUAAAGUCAACUAGCUCGCUACCGGCUAAAGUUAACUUGUAUGUAAGUGACACAACAUAAUUCUGAGACCAUUUAUUGUAUUUUUACAUUAGCCCUGUACGCAGUCAUUCCCAUUCCACUACCUAAUGCCACCCUACAGACUCGGCAGAUAGGACAUAAAGGGUCGCAGCUUCACCGCUAGCUUUCAGCGGAGCUAACCUGGCCAUAUUUCAAUUCCAGCGUCUCGCAGCCUGCGUCUCAAAUGGUCGUUCUCCCGCUCCCUGAUCGCUAUCUCCUCCUGGAACUCCAAAAUCGUGUCCUCGACAGAUUUGUAGAUCUCCUGCGCAGCAAGCAUGAGACGCUCAGUCAAAAAGACGUUUAAAAACUGCAGUUUGGUCAUUUUCUUGAGUUG
Long non-coding RNA from Sander lucioperca (pikeperch), 618 nucleotides. RefSeq lists it as uncharacterized. NCBI's taxonomy places the organism in Eukaryota, Metazoa, Chordata, Actinopteri, Perciformes, Percidae. The record is from RefSeq and is a predicted model, not a curated record. The transcript has 2 exons.